GUCGGGCUUCUAAGGGAUACUACUGAGCUUGGAACCGGGGCGAGGCUAGAGGUACUCCAGGGGUAGCGGUGAAAUGCUGUAAUCCUUGGGGGACCACCAGUGGCGAAGGCGUCUGGCCAGAACGGGUUCGACGGUGAGGGACGAAAGCUAGGGGCGCAAACGGGAUUAGAUACCCCGGUAGUCCUAGCCCUAAACGAUGCGGGCUGUGUGUCGGUCUCGACGCGAUCGGGACCGGUGCCGUAGGGAAGCUGUUAAGCCCGCCACCUGGGAAGUACGGUCGCAAGGCUGAAACUUAAAGGAAUUGGCGGGGGAGCACCACAACGGGUGGAGCCUGCGGUUUAAUUGGAUUCAACGCCGGAAAGCUUACCGGGUGCGACAGCUGUAUGAAGGCCAAGCUGGAGACUUUGCCAGACUAGCUGAGAGGAGGUGCAUGGCCGUCGACAGUUCGUAUCGUGAGACAUCCUGUUAAGUCAGGCAACGAGCGAGACCCGCAUCCACAGUUGCCAGCGUCUUCUCCGGAAGACAGGCACUCCGUGGAGACCGCCUUUGCUAAAGAGGAGGAAGGAGCGGGCUACGGUAGGUCAGUAUGCCCCGAAUCUCCCGGGCCACACGCGGGCUACAAUGGUUGGGACAAUGGGACUCGACUCCGAAAGGGGAAGGUAAUCUCCUAAACCCAAUCUCAGUGCAGACUGAGGGCUGAAACUCGCC
RNAcentral lists this ribosomal RNA (708 nucleotides) under uncultured Methanomicrobia archaeon. Its description in RNAcentral is "bacterial SSU rRNA". It matches the Rfam family "Archaeal small subunit ribosomal RNA", at positions 565 to 1272 of the family's 1478-position model. Lineage: Archaea; Methanobacteriati; Methanobacteriota; Methanomicrobia. The record is from RNAcentral.